RNAcentral lists this non-coding RNA (23 nucleotides) under Cricetulus griseus (Chinese hamster). The record is from RNAcentral. Lineage: Eukaryota; Metazoa; Chordata; Mammalia; Rodentia; Cricetidae.
GUGGCACACGUAGGGCAACCAGA